This is a small nuclear RNA of Dermacentor andersoni, 198 nucleotides long. RefSeq annotates it as U2 spliceosomal RNA. NCBI's taxonomy places the organism in Eukaryota, Metazoa, Arthropoda, Arachnida, Ixodida, Ixodidae. The record is from RefSeq and is a predicted model, not a curated record.
AUAGCGCGGCGCGAGCGUAGACAUGGCCGACGCUGGUCAAAGUGUAGUGUCCUCAUCAGCUUAAUAUCUUAUACGGGUUGCAUUUGGACCUACGAUAUUAACCUUAUCUCUGCAAGUUGGCGGAGUGCUUAAAGCCUGCUUCAUCUCAGGCGCGGGUCGGCCCGGUAUUUCACUAUCUUCGGUAUCGGCCCACGUAUG